Molecule: ribosomal RNA, 253 nt
Filed under: uncultured bacterium
Lineage: Bacteria
Description: partial 16S ribosomal RNA
Rfam family: Bacterial small subunit ribosomal RNA
Source: RNAcentral
UACGAAGGGGGCUAGCGUUGUUCGGAAUUACUGGGCGUAAAGCGCGCGCAGGCGGCUGUUCAAGUCGAGGGUGAAAGCCCAGAGCUCAACUCUGGAAUUGCCUUCGAAACUGGACAGCUUGAGUACGGGAGAGGUGAGUGGAAUUCCCAGUGUAGAGGUGAAAUUCGUAGAUAUUGGGAAGAACACCGGUGGCGAAGGCGGCUCACUGGCCCGUUACUGACGCUCAGGCGCGAUAGCGUGGGGAUCAAACAGG